GAGCCCUGCCACGGCCGGGCCUCUUGGUGCAGAUCUGCGGCCCCGCCGAGGAGCAGCAGACCAUGGGGUGCUGGGGAGGCACUGCCCAGAGGACGAACGGGGUGAACCUGGAGGAUGGCCUGACUGGAGCUGCUCUCCAAAAUGGGAAGGGACACCAAAAUCCUCGUUUGGUUGUCCCCCGGUCGCUCAAGGUGUCACUUGAGCACUGGUAAAACUUGCAAUCAGCACCAGGCCGUCCCCAGCCUGCAUUACUGGGAUGAGGUGACAGUGACAGAUGGGGAAAGGCACCACUAAUGUGAAGGGACAGAGUCACACCAGGGCCAGAUUCUGCUGGGACGGCGCUGCAGAGAGCCCGUGUGCGAGCUACGGAUUGGGGUGGGGGUGGCUCUCGGGUGGGCACAGCCCUUUUGUUAUCAGUGUCACAAUUCUGUGCCAGCUUCUGCUCCAUUAUCAGGGAAACGGGAAUUCAGACAAAGAUCCCGGUGCGUUCCCAAACCCCAGGUCCUCACCUGAUUUGUGGGGGUGGCCGAGGCCGUGUUCCGCAGCGCUGUGAGCCCGGGGCGUCACGUAGCGGAUGGAGGUCUCCUCCAAGUACUUGUCCACCAGGUCCGGACACACUGCCACAGAAGGGUCUCGUUAGGACAGACCGACAGACAGCAGCAGGCAGCAGCACAAAGCGCUGCAUGCACAGAUCCACACACAUCCCCCUGAUGAUUUCCACCGAUGACUUCCCACAGCUACAGGCCCAGCCCAGGCUCAGCACCAGGAUCAUUCCAACACCGUCAGUCCCCAGGACAGCCCCACGCCGAUGCCCCUCCCUGCAUCUCCAAGCUGCAAUAGCAGACAGUGUUAUCUGCAUGACUUUGUUAUCUGCAUGACUUCAGAGCAGAGCUCUGAUGCAGCGUGACGCGCGCUGCCAGCGCUCCGAAGUCAGACUGCUAAGGAGGAGCAGCUGCAAGCAAAGAUGAUGGGGAAAGCAAGACCACAGCUCCCAUCCUUCCCCCAGCUCUGAGCUAACUCAGGGCUGAGGUUUUGCUCCUCUGCAGAGAAACGGCUACGAAAGAGGAACAGAGAUGAGAUCGCAGUGCGGCGCAGCUGUGGAAGGAGGCAGGGACCCGAGCAGCACUUCCUCCAACCCAUCAACCCACUCCCCCUCAAUGCAAAGCACACUGUAAACCU
Molecule: non-coding RNA, 1179 nt
Organism: Meleagris gallopavo (turkey)
Lineage: Eukaryota; Metazoa; Chordata; Aves; Galliformes; Phasianidae
Source: RefSeq, a predicted model, not a curated record